Molecule: long non-coding RNA, 1082 nt
Filed under: Phasianus colchicus (ring-necked pheasant)
Lineage: Eukaryota; Metazoa; Chordata; Aves; Galliformes; Phasianidae
Description: lncRNA (ENSPCLG00000014129.1)
Source: RNAcentral
CCCCCAAAGGGACCCUUACUGGGAACCCCCUUGGGACCCCCCCCAUUUUUGGCUUCAUUUCCCGGGAUUUCGGGUCCAUUUUUGGGGUGCCGUUUUGGGUCCACUUUUGGGAUCAGAUUUUGUGGUUUUGGGGUCAAUUUUUGGGUUCAUUUUGGGUGAUUUCAGGCCCGUUUUUGGGGUGCCAUUUUGGGGCCCGUUUUUGGGCUCAAUUCUUGGCAUUUUGGGUCCAUUUUUAGGCUGGGAUUUUGUGGUUUUGGGACCAUUUUUAGGCUCAUUCUGUGUGAUUUCGGCCCGUUUUGGGCUCAUUUCCCACGAUUUCGGGUCCACUUUUGGGGCGCCAUUUUGGGGCCCAUUUUUGGGCUCAUUUCCCACGAUUUCGGGUCCAUUUUCGGGGUGCUGUUUUGGGGCCCAUUUUUGGACUCAUUUCCCGUGAUUUCAGCCCAUUUUUGGGCUCAUUUCCCACGAUUUCAGGUCCAUUUUCGGGGUGCCCUUUUGGGGCCCAUUUUGGGCUCAUUUCCCGCGAUUUCGGCCCAUUUUGGGCUCAUCUCCCGCCCCUUCCCAGGUCUCUGUGCCCUCAUUGCCUGCUCCUGGUUCGCCCACCGCGUCAUCACGGAUUUCUACAGCCCCACCAUCCCCACAAACCUCAAGUACGAGCUGGGCCCGGCGCUGUUCGUGGGCUGGGGCGGCGCGGCGCUGCUGCUGCUGGGCGGGGCGGCGCUGCUCUGCUCGUGUCGGACCGGAACCGGAACCGGAACAGCCCGAUACCCGCGGGUGAAGGCGGCGCCUCGAAAGACCGGAAGCGGAAGUGCCACCGACUACGUCUGAGAGCGCCACGCCCCCGCCGGGCGGCGCGCCAAUCGGAUCGCAGAACGGGCCUUGAGUCACGCCCCCUUUUUUUUAGCCGCGUCCCUUUAGCUCCGCCCCCUCGGCAGGAACCGGAAGUGCCGCCAAAUACGUCUGAGAGAGCCCACCCUCCCCAAAACCGCCCUCCAAUCGGAUCGCAGAACCGCCCUGCAGCCCCGCCCCCUUUUAGCGACACUCAUUAUAAUCCCUCCCCCGCGACCGGAAGCGGAAGUGCCUAA